GCACUUAAUUAGGUAUCUCUGCCAUUUGAGGCACUGAUGCUCAGUAAAUGUGCGAAAAUCAAAGAAGAUGUGCUCAGUUGGAUUGGCUUCUCUUACCUUGCCAGUCCACACGGUACAAUUUCGACACC
Molecule: small nucleolar RNA, 128 nt
Filed under: Drosophila ananassae
Lineage: Eukaryota; Metazoa; Arthropoda; Insecta; Diptera; Drosophilidae
Description: snoRNA:GF26067
Source: RNAcentral